Molecule: non-coding RNA, 140 nt
Organism: Gossypium arboreum
Lineage: Eukaryota; Viridiplantae; Streptophyta; Magnoliopsida; Malvales; Malvaceae
Source: Rfam
UAUUAAAAAAAUUCAUCAAUUUGUACUGUUAAAAACUAGUAUGAUUAACGGAAUAAUCAAGUAAUGAUAUUUAAUGAGCCAUGUGGCAUGACGUACAAAAAUCAAUUUUUAACAGUAGAAAUAGAAUGAAUUUUUAACCA